UCAAGUGCGGCGCAGCCUUGGCCGAGACCCGGUUUCUUGUGUUGCGUACCUGCACGAAGGCAUUCGUUUUUGUCCCGACGUCCCUCGUUCGUUUAGUGGUCCCCGUUGUUUCGGUGGGGGCACAAGACGAGACUUGUAGCUCGGUCCGUUACCCGCCGUCGCGUCCGGCUGUCGUGGUGAACGGGCGCUGCUUAAGCUCUCGGAUACGGAAAGCAUCGUCGAGGGGCUUUGACAUCUCCUCCUUGCCCGAGCACGCAUUAUUAGAUAGACCCCAAGAACGGUGCACGACUGUCGCUCCCGCCUCGGUUCGGCCGUGCGGGCAGGACGUCGUUGAGGAACGCUACCUGGUUGAUCCUGCCAGUA
Molecule: unclassified non-coding RNA, 363 nt
Filed under: Calciphila gillettii
Lineage: Eukaryota; Viridiplantae; Streptophyta; Magnoliopsida; Gentianales; Apocynaceae
Description: contains 5' external transcribed spacer, ETS
Source: RNAcentral